AUUGAACGCUGGCGGCAUGCUUUACACAUGCGAGUCGAACGGUAACAGGCCGCAAGGUGCUGACGAGCGGCGCACGGGUGAGUAAUGCAUCGGAACGUGCCCAGUCGUGGGGGAUAACUACUCGAAAGAGUAGCUAAUACCGCAUACGAUCUAUGGAUGAAAGCGGGGGACCGUAAGGCCUCGCGCGAUUGGAGCGGCCGAUGUCAGAUUAGGUAGUUGGUGGGGUAAAGGCUCACCAAGCCAACGAUCUGUAGCUGGUCUGAGAGGACGACCAGCCACACUGGGACUGAGACACGGCCCAGACUCCUACGGGAGGCAGCAGUGGGGAAUUUUGGACAAUGGGCGCAAGCCUGAUCCAGCAAUGCCGCGUGCAGGAAGAAGGCCUUCGGGUUGUAAACUGCUUUUGUACGGAACGAAACGGCUCUGGUUAAUACCCGGGGCUAAUGACGGUACCGUAAGAAUAAGCACCGGCUAACUACGUG
Molecule: ribosomal RNA, 482 nt
Filed under: uncultured bacterium
Lineage: Bacteria
Description: partial 16S ribosomal RNA
Rfam family: Bacterial small subunit ribosomal RNA
Source: RNAcentral